Molecule: ribosomal RNA, 435 nt
Filed under: uncultured bacterium
Lineage: Bacteria
Description: partial 16S ribosomal RNA
Rfam family: Bacterial small subunit ribosomal RNA
Source: RNAcentral
AGCGAACGCUGGCGGCAGGCUUAACACAUGCAAGUCGAGCGGGCACUUUCGGGUGUCAGCGGCGGACGGGUGAGUAACGCGUGGGAACGUGCCCUCUGGUUCGGAAUAACUCAGGGAAACUUGAGCUAAUACCGGAUACGCCCUUUUGGGGAAAGGCUUGCUGCCGGAGGAUCGGCCCGCGUCUGAUUAGCUAGUUGGUGAGGUAACGGCUCACCAAGGCGACGAUCAGUAACUGGUCUGAGAGGAUGAUCAGCCACACUGGGACUGAGACACGGCCCAGACUCCUACGGGAGGCAGCAGUGGGGAAUAUUGGACAAUGGGCGCAAGCCUGAUCCAGCCAUGCCGCGUGAGUGAUGAAGGCCUUAGGGUUGUAAAGCUCUUUUAUCCGGGACGAUAAUGACGGUACCGGAGGAAUAAGCCCCGGCUAACUUCGUG